UACGUAGGGAGCAAGCGUUGUCCGGAAUCAUUGGGCGUAAAGCGCGCGUAGGCGGCCUCAUAAGUCCGUUGUGAAAGUCAAAGGCUCAACCUUUGAAAGCCGAUGGAUACUGUGAGGCUAGAGUCCGGGAAGAGGCGAGUGGAAUUCCUGGUGUAGCGGUGAAAUGCGCAGAUAUCAGGAGGAACACCGGUGGCGAAGGCGGGUCUCUGGGCCGUAACUGACGCUGAGGAGCGAAAGCAUGGGGAGCGAACAGG
This 254-nucleotide ribosomal RNA is filed under the name uncultured bacterium. RNAcentral describes it as "partial 16S ribosomal RNA". It matches the Rfam family "Bacterial small subunit ribosomal RNA", at positions 524 to 776 of the family's 1533-position model. The record is from RNAcentral.